AAGAAAAGAAAAGAAAAGAAAAGAAAAGAAAAGAAAAGAAAAGAAAAGAAAAGAAAAGAAAAGAAAAGAAAAGAAAAGAAAAGAAAAGAAAAGAAAAGAAAAGAAAAGAAAAGAGUAAAGAAUGGAGAACCAGCCAAGAAGUCAGAAACGAAAGCUUUUCUUAUGAGCAUGAAAUAAAGUGAAUGAAUGAGAAAAUACACAAUUCAGCACUGAACGAAGAAAAAUAAUGUAGCAAGUUACUGUUUCCUGUCCUAACAGUAAAAGACCUCAGACCACACAGAUUCAACUCUACAUAACUUGGAUCACAUAAGGCAUAAACAGAUUAAUCUGUAUGGAAAUCCUAAUAUUUGAGCUAUUGCAUAGUUUUGGACCUGACCAGAGCAUGUUUUGUGGCAUCCUACCAAACUGUCGAUUUUUCAUCUUCUUCUGUCAGAUCUGUGCACACAAACACAUAUUUUUGCCACCACCCUUCAUGAAGAAAGAACCCAAUGGGAGGAAACUGUCCACCUCCUCCCUGCUGCCAUCAGACACACAGUCAAGCAGGCAAACCAGAAGGUGAGGACUGAAAUAGAGUGAAGAGUCAAGAUGUGUACAAUCAGAGGACAUAUAUGAUAGUAGUGAUGUUGAUAAGACUGGUUAAAAAUUCUUCACCAAACAGCUUUCACAGUUUCUUACUAGAAAUCUGACUUUUUGACAGUGAAUAUUUUUGUGGGAUUCUCCAUAAAUAUUAAAAAUCAUUUUCUUUUUCUGUCCUCCAAAGAAAAGCUGAACAUUUGCACAGAAGUAAAUCAUAAUUAUCUUUAAUAAUGCUCUGAAACACAUGAGCCUUUGAAGAUUAUCGUAUCUGAACUGGAAUAUCAG
Molecule: long non-coding RNA, 861 nt
Filed under: Gallus gallus (chicken)
Lineage: Eukaryota; Metazoa; Chordata; Aves; Galliformes; Phasianidae
Description: lncRNA (ENSGALG00010010694.1)
Source: RNAcentral